UGACCGAGGCCACCCAGCUACUUGGUAUUCUGGGGAGGAAGGCAGCAGGAGGCAGAAUCCUCAGCUGAACCUGCUUGGCCACUCUGAGGCUGCAGGGCGCUUGGCAAAAGGGCCAGGAAGUGAAAUAACAAAGUUUCCAAAGGCCUACACUCAAGGUGGCCUGGGCCAUGCAGUGGCCUCCGCCAUCCCCACUCGGUGGAGAAUCUCUGGGGACCAGAAAAGGGAGAAAGCUGCUGUGCUGAGGUCAGGAGUCAGCCUAUAAGAAGCCAGCUCGAGGGGUAGAGGACGGGGCACCUCACCAGCACCACCAGCAGCUUGCUGAACACUGCCCCCUCACAGUGCAAAUGACUGAUGACAGCCCAGGAAGUGCCCAGCCUCAAGCUUCACUACAGGCUGAUCCAGGGCUCUGGCUGCCCCCACGUGAUUCUGCGGCCACUGCCCGACUCCACGGAUGCUGACGUCAGCAAAACCACGUGGAGAAGGGUCUUCUGCAGCUGGACGCUGCCCAGGCGUGUGGUGGGAAGCCAGCAGGUAGCCUCUGGCCUCAGACCUACAUCCAGACAAGCUCAUGAUGAUUCCUGGGAGAAGCUGCCCCAGAAAAAGAAAGGAGCUUUCUGAGAAGGAAACAAGUGACCCAAGAUGCCUCCUUUAACCAAGAAGAGCCAGGGAGUGACACACAGUCCUGGGUUCUAGAACCACCAUUGGACUGAAACAAGUGUCCCAACGAGGAGCACAAAGGACACCACCUUAAGACUUAGAGGAGGUACGUACUUAAUGGUGUUAAGUAAAAACCACGGGGCUGCAGGUGGAGCAUUGCAAAAUGGAAAAAAUUACAGAAAGCCAUUGUUUUGGUCUAGGCUUCUGCACUGGCCCCAGCAGACCAGCUAAAACUGAAAAUGGAGUCCCUCAGGCUAAAUGCCACAUCACCACCCUGAAGCUAAGCUGUUUAUCUGACCUGUUGAAACUAAGCUCUUUAUCUGACCUUUGAGAAAUCAGGAUUAGAGAGAUAAUAGCCAAAUUUCCCAAACAAGCUGGUUUCGUGAUGGGAUGGCGUGAUAGUGAAGUUCCCUCUGCUUUAAUCUUCGCAGAAAAGAAGUCACCUGAAAUAACCUGAUGUUAUUUACCAACGGCCGUUUUUCCUCUUCUGCCCCCUUUACUUUUGUUUCUUCCUUUCUUUCGUCUUUGUCUGUCUAUAAAAUUCACCUCUUCUGCUCAGACCAUGGGGAUCCUUUUCUAUUUUGUGGAAAGAAGCACUGCCAGGAUCCUGCAGUGGGAAAUAAAGGUUCACUUGUGCCGUCAAGCGAACCUUUGCCAUUUUGCCUUUGGUGAUGGAAACGUCUUUCUUAACUCUGAAGCCCCUUUGGGUGGGACUCCAGCCCCCACUUUCCAAGAACGAAGCGGCCUUGCUCUGCGAGCAGCUGAGAAGCUUUGCGGAGACCAUCUCUGUGGAGCACAUGAUUUGAAACCAUAGCUAAGAUGAUGUACUGAAUUGGUAUGAGUCAGAAAUCAAUUAAGACUGAGCAAGCAAUGUGGUUUUAUUUUCCUGUAUCACUAGGCCUCAUUCUUCUGGGCUCUAACAGCUAAUCUCAGUCACACUGGAGUGUCCCUCCCCUCUCUGUGGUUCUGGAGAGUCCCAGGAGCAAUGUGGUUGUGGUGGGAUGACAGGGUGUUGAGCUUCUGGGAAGGGGGACAUCUCGUCCUCACUGUCAUCUUCUCUCACCAAUGCUUACGUGUUGUCAGCUUGUGGUAUCAACAGAAACUUCCCCUGUCCCUCGUAACCUGUGGCCAAGCACAGCCUAUCCACAAGCCUCUCGUGCUGUCCACACAGUCGUCCACUAGCCCUCUCCUGCAUGUGGCCCAUUGUUGCUCAAGGACACCAUUCAGUGGCUCCUGUCUUAUGCUAGGGACAGAGGUAGGCAAAGAUCCAGUCUUCCUGGUCACUUCAUGUCCCCUUGUCAUUUUGAAAGGGUAAAGUUUCUAAGCUGGAAGGCUUGAAUUAAAAUGUAAAAGAUUA
Ictidomys tridecemlineatus (thirteen-lined ground squirrel) is the source of this 2014-nucleotide long non-coding RNA. RefSeq lists it as uncharacterized. Lineage: Eukaryota; Metazoa; Chordata; Mammalia; Rodentia; Sciuridae. The record is from RefSeq and is a predicted model, not a curated record.